UCCUACGGGAGGCAGCAGUGGGGAAUUUUGCGCAAUGGGGGAAACCCUGACGCAGCAACGCCGCGUGAGUGAUGAAGGCCUUCGGGUCGUAAAGCUCUGUCAGAGGGAAAGAAAUGUAUAGUGGUUAAUACCCAUUAUGCUUGACGGUACCCUCAAAGGAAGCACCGGCUAACUCCGUGCCAGCAGCCGCGGUA
RNAcentral lists this ribosomal RNA (194 nucleotides) under uncultured Geobacteraceae bacterium. RNAcentral describes it as "partial 16S ribosomal RNA". It matches the Rfam family "Bacterial small subunit ribosomal RNA", at positions 337 to 522 of the family's 1533-position model. Lineage: Bacteria; Pseudomonadati; Thermodesulfobacteriota; Desulfuromonadia; Geobacterales; Geobacteraceae. The record is from RNAcentral.